RNAcentral lists this ribosomal RNA (497 nucleotides) under uncultured bacterium. RNAcentral describes it as "partial 16S ribosomal RNA". It matches the Rfam family "Bacterial small subunit ribosomal RNA", at positions 28 to 507 of the family's 1533-position model. The record is from RNAcentral.
GAUGAACGCUGGCGGCGUGCCUAAUACAUGCAAGUCGAGCGAACGGACGAGAAGCUUGCUUCUCUGAUGUUAGCGGCGGACGGGUGAGUAACACGUGGAUAACCUACCUAUAAGACUGGGAUAACUUCGGGAAACCGUAGCUAAUACCGGAUAAUAUUUUGAACCGCAUGGUUCAAAAGUGAAAGACGGUCUUGCUGUCACUUAUAGAUGGAUCCGCGCUGCAUUAGCUAGUUGGUAAGGUAACGGCUUACCAAGGCAACGAUGCAUAGCCGACCUGAGAGGGUGAUCGGCCACACUGGAACUGAGCCACGGUCCAGACUCCUACUGGAGGCAGCAGUAGGGAAUCUUCCGCAAUGGGCGAAAGCCUGACGGAGCAACGCCGCGUGAGUGAUGAAGGUCUUCGGAUCGUAGAACUCUGUUAUUAGGGAAGAACAUAUGUGUAAGUAACUGUGCACAUCUUGACGGUACCUAAUCAGAAAGCCACGGCUAACUACGUG